Mus musculus (house mouse) is the source of this 1604-nucleotide long non-coding RNA. RefSeq annotates it as predicted gene 16160. The record is from RefSeq and is a predicted model, not a curated record. The transcript has 3 exons. Lineage: Eukaryota; Metazoa; Chordata; Mammalia; Rodentia; Muridae.
UCGGGGCAGUUCAAUGGCUGCAGGAUGAAAUAAGGUUCGACUGGUGUCUAAGGCUGCCCGAGUGCGGCGAGGUUGCCCAGGACAGGGACUCCUCCUUUGGCUGGGACUGGCUGCUCGCCUCUGCUCCGCCCCGGCGCUUUUGAAAGUAAACUACCUGCCUGUUGCGCUCCGCGAUGCGCAACUGGCCGCGCCCCCCAGGCCUCCCGGGCUGCGGUUUUGUAAGCGAAGUGAGAAACACGAGCCAGCUCCGUUCCUGUGCUGGAAAACCGGCCAGUUGACCCCGGGUCCUGGCGGGGACCCCCAUCGCGUUCUGCCCUGCAAGGCGCGUCCAGCCACUGGUUGCCUCCGACACGCCGUCAUUCCCUGGCCACCACCCGGCACGCGCACUCAGGGGCGCACUCCGAAGGCCAGACAAGGCAAAGAAGUCCGAGGCCACGUCCUUCUAAGUACACCCAGAUGUUCACGGUGGCAGGACGAUGUUCCACACUCCUAGCCUCCAGACUCCAAUGACCCCACCAUCUGCAUGUACCUGAACUGCAGCCUCUAAAUGACUCCGGAGAGCAGAUCUAGAGUCCAGCAUCCCGUUUCCUCGGGUAAAUCCAGCUGUCUGCCCGGCAUGCUUAGCUGCUAAGGUGGGAAAGCCAAAGAAGUCUGGAAACGGAGUCCCAUUCACCUUACCACUUAGAACCUUCACACGUAAAGCAGAGCAAGACAUCCCAGUUCAAGUGUGAGGUUCUCCAGGAGUCCUGUGUAAUACUAAGACCCACAAUGAAUUUUCAUGGAAUGGCAUUCCAGCUUGCUCUGGGUGAUUUAAGUAACCUUAUAAUGUGAUGCUUCUGAGAGGGGUCAGGGGAGAAGGAUAACCCAGAAUAUUAUAAAUGAUGAGUUCACGUCAAAGUGCUAUCUACUAUUUGUUUUUACCCCAUGAACUAGAGUUUCAGAGUUGAAAAGUUCAACUGAAGGCAUUCAGACACUGAGUGGUGGUCCGUGCAACCGAGCGUUGCACUGGAUAGAGCGAGCUACCUGUGGCAGAGCUGUUCAGCACUACUAGCCAUUCAUCUGACAUUGACUCCCCCAGCUACACCUUUAUCAAUAAUUCAGGUGACUCCACGGGCACCACCUGCUACUCUCUUGUUUUGCUAAUCCGUUUAUUUCAAACUGCAUAGGGGAAGAGCAACACUAUGCAUUGGGUUCUUUUCCAAAUGUCAACAUGCCUACCUUCCAUGCGUGCAACAGCAGCUUCCUGGUCUUAUAUUUUCCGUCCCUCCCUCCUUCCCCCAAGGCUUGUAAUGCUCUACCUGCUAUGAUCCACCCUAUCUACCAAGACCCAACAGUUGUAUGACAAAACUUUUUCUGGGGAGAUGCGACACACACAUCUGUUCACCCCAGAUAGGGAACCUAUGACAGAACAAAGUGUGGAUACCACCAAAGUCCAACGUGGUGAACCAAUGAGUUUUAGAGAGGCUCCAGGAGCAGAAACGACUCAAAGACAGCUGCAUCACCAAGGCGUACCCCAACAUGGGUGGCACUUCACAAAGCUGGGAAUCUGGAACGCACUGCACAUCCUGCAGGCUGCUCAACAGGUGCUUGAAAAAUGGCUCGGC